RNAcentral lists this ribosomal RNA (39 nucleotides) under Tricholoma cingulatum. RNAcentral describes it as "partial 18S ribosomal RNA". The record is from RNAcentral. Lineage: Eukaryota; Fungi; Basidiomycota; Agaricomycetes; Agaricales; Tricholomataceae.
CGUAACAAGGUUUCCGUAGGUGAACUGCGGAAGGAUCAU